This 253-nucleotide ribosomal RNA is filed under the name uncultured bacterium. RNAcentral's name for it is "partial 16S ribosomal RNA". It matches the Rfam family "Bacterial small subunit ribosomal RNA", at positions 524 to 776 of the family's 1533-position model. The record is from RNAcentral.
UACGUAGGUGGCAAGCGUUGUCCGGAAUUACUGGGUGUAAAGGGAGCGCAGGCGGGAAGCCAAGUCAGCUGUGAAAACUACGGGCUUAACUUGUAGACUGCAGUUGAAACUGGUUUUCUUGAGUGAAGUAGGGGUUGGCGGAAUUCCGAGUGUAGCGGUGAAAUGCGUAGAUAUUCGGAGGAACACCGGUGGCGAAGGCGGCCAACUGGGCUUUAACUGACGCUGAGGCUCGAAAGUGUGGGGAGCAAACAGG